AUUAGAUGAGCCUAUAUUAGAUUAGCUAGUUGGUGGAGUAAUAGCCUACCAAGGCAAUGAUCUAUAGCUGAUCUGAGAGGAUGAUCAGCCACACUGGAACUGAGAUACGGUCCAGACUCCUACGGGAGGCAGCAGUGGGGAAUAUUGGACAAUGGGCGAAAGCCUGAUCCAGCCAUGCCGCAUGAGUGAAGAAGGCCUUUGGGUUGUAAAGCUCUUUUAGUGAGGAAGAUAAUGACGGUACUCACAGAAGAAGUCCUGGCUAACUCCGUGCCAGCAGCCGCGGUAAUACGGAGAGGGCUAGCGUUAUUCGGAAUUAUUGGGCGUAAAGGGCGCGUAGGCUGAUUAAUAAGUUAAAAGUGAAAUCCCGAGGCUUAACCUUGGAAUUGCUUUUAAAACUAUUAAUCUAGAGAUUGAAAGAGGAUAGAGGAAUUCCUGAUGUAGAGGUAAAAUUCGUAAAUAUUAGGAGGAACACCAGUGGCGAAGGCGUCUAUCUGGUUCAAAUCUGACGCUGAAGCGCGAAGGCGUGGGGAGCAAACAGGAUUAGAUACCCUGGUAGUCCACGCUGUAAACGA
RNAcentral lists this ribosomal RNA (572 nucleotides) under Wolbachia endosymbiont of Bemisia tabaci. RNAcentral describes it as "bacterial SSU rRNA". It matches the Rfam family "Bacterial small subunit ribosomal RNA", at positions 220 to 809 of the family's 1533-position model. The record is from RNAcentral. Lineage: Bacteria; Pseudomonadati; Pseudomonadota; Alphaproteobacteria; Rickettsiales; Anaplasmataceae.